GGUUGCACAUUUGAGGUCAUAGCAGAAGUGCUCACAAUGCGGCCCCAUCAGAUUCUAACAAAUCUGUGAAUUCUGCU
Molecule: ribozyme, 77 nt
Filed under: Crocodylus porosus (Australian saltwater crocodile)
Lineage: Eukaryota; Metazoa; Chordata; Crocodylia; Crocodylidae
Description: Mammalian CPEB3 ribozyme (ENSCPRG00005005051.1)
Rfam family: Mammalian CPEB3 ribozyme
About the family: The mammalian CPEB3 ribozyme is a self cleaving RNA located in the second intron of the CPEB3 gene which belongs to a family of genes regulating messenger RNA polyadenylation. This ribozyme is highly conserved and found only in mammals. There is currently only one other known self cleaving ribozyme in mammals, the CoTC motif.
Source: Rfam by way of RNAcentral